This 3924-nucleotide long non-coding RNA is filed under the name Sus scrofa (pig). Its description in RNAcentral is "lncRNA (ENSSSCG00035042491.1)". The record is from RNAcentral. Lineage: Eukaryota; Metazoa; Chordata; Mammalia; Artiodactyla; Suidae.
AAAUCCCCCAAGAUCUCUGCAUUGCCAUGUGCCUAGUGAUUUCUGGAUAUAGCCAAUGGGGAAUGUGCUCUUGGAAUUUUAAUGCGUCUGUUUAUAACAUCAGUAUAUACUCGAGGGGAUUGAAAUAUUUGUCCUUCUGAUUAUGAAAGGAUUGUAGAGUUAGUGCCAUUUAGCUCAUGACCAACAUGACAUCUUGACUUGCUUAAGCAAUAUGAAGGCAUAAAGAGUAUCAGAUAUUUCUUUUAUUUCACCCUUUCCUGACCCUGAUUAUAAAAGGUUUAUAUACAGCUUUGAUCUUUGUGGCUUCACUACCUGCUGUUUGCAGGAAAAAAAAAAAAAAAAAAAAAACAUUGAGUGAUUCUAGAUGAGGCUGGUGUUCAGCUGAUCUGUGCGAGUAAGACUAUCCUGGUUGGUAAAGAUGUUGAAACGUGAUCCUUUUGGAUUGGCAAAUGGACGCUUCUCUGACUCCUCUGUGCAUGAUGACUCAUGGGAACAAAAGCCUUCACAGACAGCUCUACUAAGUGUUAAAUAUUUUAAACGUCAGAAUCCUCUAAUGCUUUCCCUUUUAAAAGUAUCAACCCCCACCCCCUUUGAUAACCUCCUUUCCCGUAACUCACACUUGGAUGUGACAUGCUUGGCUCUUGGCUCCUCCCUCCUACCCAGCCCUUUUCUCAAAAGGAGCUGGUUAACAUUCUUUCCCUAGGAUUGAAGGGAGAGGAUAGGAGGGGGUACGUGGAGGAGAGGACCAGGCUGAGCUGGAGCAGGGAAGCAAUCCUCUCUGGAGAAGAAGGGGUACAGAGACUGAGCCAUUGUGCCCCAAGAAUUUUAAGGAAUGGUUUAACUUUCACCAGCAUCAUCUAAUCUUUUAUUUCUUUAAUUUUUAAAUUUUUUCUUUUUACAGCCACACUUAUGGCACAUGGAAGUUCCCAAGCAAGGGGUCGAAUUGAAGCUGAAGCUGCAGCUACCAGCCUCAACACACCAGAGCCACAGCAGUGCCGAAUCUGAGCCGUGCCUGUGACCUAUGCUGCAGCUUACAGCAGCGCUGAAUCCUUAACCCACUGAGCGAGGCCAGGGAUCAAACCUGCAUCCUCAGGGACACCAUGUCAAGUUCUUAACCCCCACAGUGGAGCCACAGUGAGAAAUCCUCAUCUAAUCUUUUAAAAACUUCUUAUGAAAUGUUUUAGACACACUGAAAAUCUUAAAAAUAAUAGUUUCAAUUUCAGACAACGUAGAAGAGAUGCAUUAAAAAUUUUCUCCUACUAAGUGCAGCUAAAAUCCUAGAAAUUAUGUAUAAAACAAGCACAAGACUGAGAGGUAGAAGGAAGAACAAAGACUACCUGAGGACCUUGGGACCUGAGUCAUGACAUAGUGGAAAUUUCCCUGGAUUUCCUUUUUGCCUUAGAUAUCCUACACUGGGUGCUAGAGAAACUACAACCCCCAACACUAAUGAUAUGGACAACAAAAGUUCCAACAAAAAGCCUGCUCUCUCUGCUAAAAGACUAGGAAAGGGGCAGACUAGCAAGAUGGAAAAUUUUUAGACAAGAACCACUUUCCUCCAGCUAAAUACUGUGAAUAAAACUGUGGCUCCAUCCUUAUUCCCACCCUUGUUAGAAGAGGCUUCUACCCUUUUCUGAGUAUAACAAUGUUCCCUCCUUCUCCCUGCUGUGAUAGCAUCAGAGAAAUUCUUGCAGAAAGCCAAGACAGGUACCACCACCCAGUGUUCAUGGAACCCCUUUCCAGAGUGUCACUCAAGGUUGGUUAGGGACCUGGAGUGCUAUUCUCACCUGGCAGUAAGGAGGCAUCUCUUCCUCUUCCCAUCAAGGUGGUGUCAGAACAGGUCUACACCACUGACCCAUCUCCAUCCAGUAUCAGUGUGGGGACUCUAAAUUUCUACCCCCAUUCAGCAUUAAUCAGGCAUUAUUUCCACCUUUCCCACCCUACGUGUCAAGAGAGGUCAGAUGGAAGACUUAGACUUCUACCUCCACCUGGCAGUAAGGACUCAGUGCUUUCUUCUUCACUGCCAUGGAGGCAGAGAAGGUUAACUAAGACAAAAGAUUUAAAUAAGAUCCAGAGUCUCAUUACAUACUAUCCAAAACAUCCAAGAUAUAAUAAUAAUAAAAUACUCAUCAAGAAUCAGAAAAACCUUAACUUAAUCAAGAAAAGUCAAUUAACAUAUGCAACACCAGGAUGAAACAGAUCUUGGAAUGAUCUGACAAAGAAUUUAUUUUCUUGCCUUUUUUUUUUUUUUUUUUUAAGGGCCACACAUGUGGCAUAGGGAAGUUCCCAGGCUAGGGGUCGAAGCAUAGCUGCAGCUGCAGCCUAUGCCACAGCCACAGCCACAGCAAUGCUGAAUCCAAGCUGCAUCUUCGACCUACACUACAGCUUGAAGCAACACUGGAUCCUUAACCCACUGAGUGAGGCAAGGGAUUGAACCUGCAUCCUCAUGGAUACCAGUUGGGUUUGUUACCACUGAACCACAGUGGGAACUCCCAUCUGACAAAGAUUUUAAAGCAGCUACAACAAAGACAUUGCAACAAGCAACUAUGCCAUGACUGACAUAAAUGAAAAAGAAAGACAAUCUUAGCAAAGAAAUAAAAUGCCUUGCAAAGAAAUAGAAGCUAUAACGAAGAAUCAAAUGAAGAUUUUAGAACUGAAAAUGCAAUAACUGAAAUUUUAAAACUUACUGGAUGGACUGAACAGUGAAAUGGAGAGGACAGAGGAAAAAAAAUCAGUGAACUUGAAGAUAGAGAAAUUGAAAUUACUCAAUCUGAAAAACAGAGAGAAAACAAGACUGAAAACAAGAUGAGCUCCAGGGACAUAUGGGACUAUGUGUAAAGAUCGAAUGCUUAUGUCAUUAGAGAUCCAGAAGAACAACAACAAAAAAGUAUGGGCUGAAAAAGUAUUAAAAUAAAUAACUCCUGAAAAUUUCCCCAAUUUAGCAAAAGCCAAAAUUCUAAAAAUUCAAGAUGAUGACAAAUCCCAGACAAUAAACCCAAAAAUAUCUGCAACCCAAGCCACAUCAUAAUCAAACUUCUGGAAACUAAAAACAAAAAUGUCUUAAAGCAGCAAGAAAAAAAACAGUAUCUUAAUUGUAAGGAAAAAACAAAUCAAAUGACAGCAUAUUUCUCAUCAAAAAUUAUGACAUCACCAGAAACCACAGAAAUGGAACAACAUUAUCUAGUGCUAAAAGAAAAAAAAUGUCAAUCUAGAAUUCUUAUUCAAUAAAAAUGUCCUUUAGGAAUGAAGGAGGGAAUCAAGAUGGUCUCAGGUGAAGGAAAACUAAGAGAAUAUGUUGCCAGCAGACCUAUCCUAAAAGAAUGGCUAAAAAAUACAUAUAUAUUGAAACAGAAUAAAUGGUGAAAGAAAGAAAUCUGAAACAUCAGAAAGGAAAUAAGGACAAUGGAAAGAGUGCAAAUAUGGAAAAUAUAUUAGAAGUUUCUUCUCAGCUUGAGUAUUCUAAAUUAUGUUUGAUAGUUGAGCAAAAAUUAUAACGUCUGAUACUCUGAUAAGUCAUAUGUAAUACCUAGAAUACCACUAAAAAAGUUACUUUGUGAGAUACACUCAAGAGUACCAUAGAUAAAUAAAAAUGGAAUUUAAAAAAUGUUCAAGUGACACAUAAGAUGUCAGGACAUAGAGAACCCAAAAACUAAACAAAACGCCUUAAGCAUUUUGCAUUUUGUCUUUUUCAUUUUUUGCAAAAAAAGCAGCGUUAAGCCCUAAUAAACUAACUAUUACAUUCGUGUAGAUGGUCUAAACACAUCAAGUAAAAGGCAGAGGGGAGUUCCCUUGUGAGGCAGCAGGCUAAGGAUCCUGCAUUGUCACUGCAAUGGACCAGGUUGCUACUGUGUCACAGAUUCAAUCCGUGGUCCAGGAACCUCCACAUGUCAUGGGUGUGGGCAAAAAAAAAAAAAAAAAAAAAAAAAA